GAUGAACGCUGGCGGCGUGCCUAAUACAUGCAAGUCGAGCGAACAGACGAGGAGCUUGCUCCUCUGACGUUAGCGGCGGACGGGUGAGUAACACGUGGAUAACCUACCUAUAAGACUGGGAUAACUUCGGGAAACCGGAGCUAAUACCGGAUAAUAUAUUGAACCGCAUGGUUCAAUAGUUAAAGACGGUUUUGCUGUCACUUAUAGAUGGAUCCGCGCCGCAUUAGCUAGUUGGUAAGGUAACGGCUUACCAAGGCAACGAUGCGUAGCCGACCUGAGAGGGUGAUCGGCCACACUGGAACUGAGACACGGUCCAGACUCCUACGGGAGGCAGCAGUAGGGAAUCUUCCGCAAUGGGCGAAAGCCUGACGGAGCAACGCCGCGUGAGGGAUGAAGGUCUUCGGAUCGUAAAACUCUGUUAUUAGGGAAGAACAAAUGUGUAAGUAACUAUGCACGUCUUGACGGUACCUAAUCAGAAAGCCACGGCUAACUACGUG
This 497-nucleotide ribosomal RNA is filed under the name uncultured bacterium. RNAcentral's name for it is "partial 16S ribosomal RNA". It matches the Rfam family "Bacterial small subunit ribosomal RNA", at positions 28 to 507 of the family's 1533-position model. The record is from RNAcentral.